This 48-nucleotide transfer RNA is filed under the name Escherichia coli PCN079. RNAcentral's name for it is "partial tRNA-Val". It matches the Rfam family "tRNA", at positions 1 to 46 of the family's 71-position model. From Rfam's summary of the family: Transfer RNA (tRNA) molecules are approximately 80 nucleotides in length. Their secondary structure includes four short double-helical elements and three loops (D, anti-codon, and T loops). Further hydrogen bonds mediate the characteristic L-shaped molecular structure. tRNAs have two regions of fundamental functional importance: the anti-codon, which is responsible for specific mRNA codon recognition, and the 3' end, to which the tRNAs corresponding amino acid is attached (by aminoacyl-tRNA synthetases). tRNAs cope with the degeneracy of the genetic code in two manners: having more than one tRNA (with a specific anti-codon) for a particular amino acid; and 'wobble' base-pairing, i.e. permitting non-standard base-pairing at the 3rd anti-codon position. The record is from RNAcentral. RNAcentral also lists the same sequence under 1 other name. Lineage: Bacteria; Pseudomonadati; Pseudomonadota; Gammaproteobacteria; Enterobacterales; Enterobacteriaceae.
GGGUGAUUAGCUCAGCUGGGAGAGCACCUCCCUUACAAGGAGGGGGUC